GACGAGGGAUCCUAGCGUUGCUCGGAAUUAUUGGGCGUAAAGCGGGUGUAGGUGGCUUGGUAAGUCGGGUGUGAAAGCCCAGGGCUCAACCCUGGAAGUGCAUUCGAUACUGCUAAGCUUGAGUGCGAGAGAGGUUAAUAGAAUACCUGGUGUAGUGGUGAAAUACGUAGAUAUCAGGUGGAACACCGGAGGCGAAGGCGGUUAACUGGCUCGACACUGACACUGAGACCCGAAAGCGUGGGGAUCAAACAGG
Molecule: ribosomal RNA, 253 nt
Filed under: uncultured bacterium
Lineage: Bacteria
Description: partial 16S ribosomal RNA
Rfam family: Bacterial small subunit ribosomal RNA
Source: RNAcentral